Molecule: ribosomal RNA, 253 nt
Filed under: uncultured bacterium
Lineage: Bacteria
Description: partial 16S ribosomal RNA
Rfam family: Bacterial small subunit ribosomal RNA
Source: RNAcentral
UACGUAGGGUGCAAGCGUUAAUCGGAAUUACUGGGCGUAAAGCGUGCGCAGGCGGUUGUGCAAGACCGAUGUGAAAUCCCCGGGCUUAACCUGGGAAUGGCAUUGGGGACUGCACGGCUAGAGUGUGUCAGAGGGGGGUAGAAUUCCACGUGUAGCAGUGAAAUGCGUAGAGAUGUGGAGGAAUACCGAUGGCGAAGGCAGCCCCCUGGGAUAACACUGACGCUCAUGCACGAAAGCGUGGGGAGCAAACAGG